GAGAAAAGAAAGAAGAAGAGGAAGCGUGAUGAAACUCAGGCGUCGCUUGCCGGGUCAAUGCUUAAAUAUGUUCAAGGAGGAUCUCAAGGACAGGAUGAACCAUCCAGUAGUAGUGCCAUCCCUGGACAUCAACCACCAGCCAUUGUAGACCCUGCAACAAUCCCUAGCCAAGAAGAACAAGAACCAUCAACCACCAGUUCAGAAACAUCAGGAUCAGCUCAUUGUCACUUGUCACAAGUGAAAUUCUUGAGGAACACCAGGAAGAACGAUUUUUUUCCCCCUUCAAGAUAAGUUGUAUAUUCUUUAUCUUAAUAACACUUACACAAGUAUAAUCUUGACUAGAAGUAGUAUUGCUAGUAUUGUUGGCAGAAACAUUGUGGGCAUCACGCACUGUUGUCUACCACUGUCAGACGUUAAAAAGCUACUUUAGGCUUUAUUCACUGAAUGAGGGCUCACCCUGGUGGGUAACUCGGCAUGCUUUGAUUGGCAGUUUUAUGUCCUUUUAUGCCCUUUCUGAUGCAACUAACUGUCACACAUUGACUUACUAAAAUUUCUGACCAUUCCCUGCUUAAAUGUUCCUUCAGUGUCAAGAUUUUUAAUUGGUUCAUUUUCUUGCAUGUACUGCCUGUUUCAAAGUAAACAUGAACUACUUUGACAGACUGAAACAAGUCCUUGUCUAGAGGAUCUCAAGCCAACAGGUUUCAGUGAAAGAAGUCGGUCUAUCACAUCUAGAGCAUCACUAAGAGCAUGCACUCUCUUAAUUUCAGACAUUUAAUGAUUUUUACAGUGCAAAUUCACCCCCAAGGAUCACGCUCUCAUGCUCUCCAUGUAACUCUUAUCGAAACUUAAAUUCAACAUGAAGGACGCAUAUGUGACAAUGCUCAGCAGUGGAUUUCAAUGUAGAAAUUAAAAAAAAAAUAAAAGCACUGGAAGGGCCAGAGUAGUAAAAAACUAGACCAUCUUGAAGGGGGAAAUAGCUAUAUUCUAUAAUAAGUGUGGAGGAGGGGGAAAGGGGUUUUCAGUCAAAAUCCUCACUGCAGGUCACUGGAUGCGGGUGAUGUAAGCGUGUACCGAAUGACCUCUCAGGGCCAUUGUAAUUUUUGUUGUUUUUGAAUAUUUGUGGUGAAACUAAAAUCAAAUUCUUUCCCAUCUGCUUUUGAUCAGUAGUGGAACUGCAGCUAAUGCUCACCCCAUACUGACUUCCCUGUAGUCAGCCUCCAAUCCCAACACAUUGCACCAUAGCCUCCUGUGACACCCAUCCCUACCUAUCCUAUCACACCCCACCGAUCACUUUCACUCACAACGAGGUUCAGAGGCAAAUGAGAAGCCUCCACUCAGGCAAGUCAGCUGGACCAGAUGGGGUGAGUCCCCGUGUCCUCAAUACCUGUGCUCCCCGUCUUUCAUAAACUCUUCAUGAUGAGCCUGAGUCUGCAGAGUCCCAGAGCUCAAGAGGACGUUUUUGUACUAAAAACCCCCCCCAGAAUUACAGACCUGUGGCACUGACAUCCACGUCAUAAAGAACCUGAAAAGACUCAUUCUCGAUCAUCUCUGACCUGUGGUCAGUUUUCCAGUGUGCCUACGCCUGUGAGAUGCAGUAGUGGGCUGUGGCAGACUCCUUUGUUAAGUGUUGCAAGCAGAAUCAUCUGCAACUCAACACGACUGCAGAUGACUGAUGCACAAUCAAAGUUCAAAGUUCAGUUGAUUGAACUUUUGGAGGCCAGGCCCAUAUAUCACAAAAUAUGAAAACUUAUUACUUACUUCAGGAAAGCACUGACCAUGUCUUGGUCAUAUAGUCUGGCAUGAUGCUUUUCACAUCAGACAAUAUGUUUGCUUCUGUCAGCAUAAAGGAAAAGAAUUAUUUAGCAGGAAUUAUAAACUAGUACAUUGUAAAGUCAUCUGUGGAAAAAAAAAGGAAAAAAACUGUGUGAAUUAUAUCAGAACCAUUAAUAUAUUAAUACAUUACUGACAUUUGAUAUACUAGAAGAAUUGCGCUGUAUAGAAACUGUGAUAUUGUUCAGAAAGAGAUGAAAAUACCUGCAAAUCAUGAUGUAGACUCACUUUGUCACUUAGCUGGUGGCUGGCACUUGCUGGGGUCACUUUGAAGCUCUGAUUUUCUUUUCUCUGACUGGACAAAAAUAAAAUUGCAAAGCCACAAACAUCUGUUGUCUUGAUUUCUCUCUCAAUAUUGAAAGUUGUUCUGAGUGAAUUAUUUAGUUGUUUCAAAAGUAUUGCUGCCUUUAAAACACAGAUUAAUAUAAAAUGAAAAAAAUAAGAUGCAUCUAACUCACCUGCAUCACUUGUGGAAGGCAAGAACUGAGAAUGAAUAAUAGUAAUAAAGGAAAUUAUCACUCUUUGCAUUGGCAUUGUUCUUUAACAAAAUUUAAAGGACACUAACAUACAAGUUUUACAAUCAACAAACUUACUGCAG
Long non-coding RNA from Oreochromis aureus, 2428 nucleotides. NCBI's taxonomy places the organism in Eukaryota, Metazoa, Chordata, Actinopteri, Cichliformes, Cichlidae. The record is from Ensembl.